AGUUCUGUGGAAAGUCUUGAUCAUAGCAGUGAGCUGUCUGGUUGCUGUGGCGCUGGUUCUGUUCUCAUGGAGAUGUUUCUACAAAAGGAAAGCGUACCCUGUUACACAAGAUCAGGAGCACGUCUAUUAUACCAUUAAUGACAACACACCAACCUCACAACCUGCAGGUGACCAACAAAGGACAAAGGAACCCAUCUACUACCUGGCAACUCAUCCAGGAGUCCAGAUCACAGAUACCCAGCAGAGCGUGUAUGAGGCCAUAUAACAACCCCAUAACACCCAACACCGAAGGAACGAGUUGAACAGCUAUGUGCACAAACAAAGAAGCCAACAGAAUAAACUCUGGAUUUUGCACUCACUCCAU
This is a long non-coding RNA of Colossoma macropomum (tambaqui), 364 nucleotides long. RefSeq lists it as uncharacterized. The record is from RefSeq and is a predicted model, not a curated record. Lineage: Eukaryota; Metazoa; Chordata; Actinopteri; Characiformes; Serrasalmidae. The transcript has 5 exons.